UACGGGGGGGGCAAGCGUUGUUCGGAAUUACUGGGCGUAAAGCGUGCGCAGGCGGUUCGCCAAGUCAGGUGUGAAAUCCCCGGGCUUAACCUGGGAAUUGCGCUUGAAACUAGCGGGCUUGAGUGUGGCAGAGGGGGGUGGAAUUCCACGUGUAGCAGUGAAAUGCGUAGAGAUGUGGAGGAACACCGAUGGCGAAGGCAGCCCCCUGGGUCAACACUGACGCUCAUGCACGAAAGCGUGGGGAGCAAACAGG
This 253-nucleotide ribosomal RNA is filed under the name uncultured bacterium. RNAcentral's name for it is "partial 16S ribosomal RNA". It matches the Rfam family "Bacterial small subunit ribosomal RNA", at positions 524 to 776 of the family's 1533-position model. The record is from RNAcentral.